UAAAGUGGCGAACGGCUGAGUAACACGUGGGCAACCUGCCCUUUGCACUGGGAUAGCCUCGGGAAACCAAGGUUAAUACCGGAUACUCCAUAUUUGUCGCAUGGCGAAUAUGGGAAAGCUCCGGCGGCAAAGGAUGGGCCCGCGGCCUGUUAGCUAGUUGGUGGGGUAGUGGCCUACCAAGGCAAUGAUGGGUAGCCGGGUUGAGAGACCGACCGGCCAGAUUGGGACUGAGACACGGCCCAGACUCCUACGGGAGGCAGCAGCA
RNAcentral lists this ribosomal RNA (265 nucleotides) under uncultured Atopobium sp. RNAcentral's name for it is "partial 16S ribosomal RNA". It matches the Rfam family "Bacterial small subunit ribosomal RNA", at positions 91 to 355 of the family's 1533-position model. Lineage: Bacteria; Bacillati; Actinomycetota; Coriobacteriia; Coriobacteriales; Atopobiaceae. The record is from RNAcentral.